GACAGAGGGUGCAAACGUUGUUCGGAAUUACUGGGCGUAAAGCGCGUGUAGGCGGCUCGGAAAGUCGGAUGUGAAAGCCCUGGGCUUAACCUAGGAAGUGCAUUCGAAACUCCCGAGCUUGAGUUCUGGAGAGGAAGGCGGAAUUCCCGGUGUAGAGGUGAAAUUCGUAGAUAUCGGGAGGAACACCAGUGGCGAAGGCGGCGAUCUGGGCAGAUACUGACGCUGAGGUGCGAAAGCGUGGGGAGCAAACAGG
RNAcentral lists this ribosomal RNA (253 nucleotides) under uncultured bacterium. Its description in RNAcentral is "partial 16S ribosomal RNA". It matches the Rfam family "Bacterial small subunit ribosomal RNA", at positions 524 to 776 of the family's 1533-position model. The record is from RNAcentral.